GAUGAACGCUGGCGGCGUGCCUAAUACAUGCAAGUCGAGCGAAUGGAUUAAGAGCUUGCUCUUAUGAAGUUAGCGGCGGACGGGUGAGUAACACGUGGGUAACCUGCCCAUAAGAAUGGGAUAACUACGGGAAACCGGGGCUACUACCGGAUAACAUUUUGAACCGCAUGGGUCGAAAUUGAAAGGCGGCUUCGGCUGUGCCUUAUGGAUGGACCCGCGUCGCAUUAGCAAGUUGGUGAGGUAACGGCUCACCAAGGCAACGAUGCGUAGCCGACCUGAGAGGGUGAUCGGCCACACUGGGACUGAGACACGGCCCAGACUCCUACGGGAGGCAGCAGUAGGGAAUCUUCCGCAAUGGACGAAAGUCUGACGGAGCAACGCCGCGUGAGUGAUGAAGGCUUUCGGGUCGUAAAACUCUGUUGUUAGGGAAGAACAAGUGCUAGUUGAAUAAGCUGGCACCUUGACGGUACCUAACCAGAAAGCCACGGCUAACUACGUGCCAGCCGCCGCAGUAA
RNAcentral lists this ribosomal RNA (515 nucleotides) under uncultured bacterium. RNAcentral describes it as "partial 16S ribosomal RNA". It matches the Rfam family "Bacterial small subunit ribosomal RNA", at positions 28 to 523 of the family's 1533-position model. The record is from RNAcentral.